RNAcentral lists this ribosomal RNA (1092 nucleotides) under Triticum aestivum (bread wheat). Its description in RNAcentral is "partial small subunit ribosomal RNA". Lineage: Eukaryota; Viridiplantae; Streptophyta; Magnoliopsida; Poales; Poaceae. The record is from RNAcentral.
AUGGCGACCUCCAUGGUUUGCCUGGUUGCGCUCUGCCUCCUGUCUCCGUUGCUCCUCGCCGGCGCCGUGGUCGGCAACCCGGGUUACGGCGGCCUGUUCCCGCAGUUCUACGACCACUCGUGCCCCAAGGCCAAAGAGAUGGUGCACUCCAUCGUGGCGCAGGCCGUGGCCAGGGAGACCAGGAUGGCCGCCUCCCUCGUCAGGCUGCAUUUCCAUGACUGCUUCGUCAAGGGCUGCGACGCGUCCGUGCUGCUGGACAACAGCACCAACAUCGUCAGCGAGAAAGGGUCCAACCCCAACAGAAACUCCAUCAGGGGGUUCGAGGUCGUCGACCAGAUCAAGGUGGCCCUCGAGACCGCCUGCCCCGGCACCGUCUCCUGCGCUGACAUCCUCGCCCUCGCAGCCCGCGAUUCCACCAUCCUCGUAUGUUCGCCACCUUUCCUCUCCUCGCACAAGUCGACCAACCCAGCCAGCAUGUGUGACUCUUUGACCCUGAUCAAACUGCAGGUCGGUGGCCCGUACUGGGAGGUGCCGCUCGGGCGGAGGGACUCCCUGGGCGCGAGCAUCCAGGGCUCCAACAACGACAUCCCGGCACCCAACAACACCCUCCCUACCAUCAUCACCAAGUUCAAGCGCCUGGGCCUCAACGUCGUGGACGUCGUCGCGCUCUCGGGCGGCCACACCAUCGGCCUGUGCCGCUGCACCAGCUUCCGGCAGAGGCUGUACAACCAGUCGGGCAACGGCCUCGCCGACAGCACGCUGGACGUGUCCUUCGCAGCGCACCUGAGGCAGGGCUGCCCCCGCUCCGGCGGCGACAACAACCUCUUCCCGCUCGACGCCGUCAGCUCCACCAAGUUCGACAACUUCUACUUCAAGAACAUCCUCGCCGGCAGGGGCCUCCUGAGCUCCGACGAGGUGCUGCUGACCAAGAGCGCCGAGACGGCGGCGCUGGUGAAGGCGUACGCCGACGACGUGCACCUCUUCUUCCAGCACUUUGCCCAGUCAAUGGUGAACAUGGGCAACAUCUCGCCGCUCACCGGGUCCAAGGGGGAGAUCAGGAAGAACUGCAGGAGGCUCAACAACUACCACUGA